Cydia splendana is the source of this 187-nucleotide long non-coding RNA. RefSeq lists it as uncharacterized. The record is from RefSeq and is a predicted model, not a curated record. The transcript has 2 exons. NCBI's taxonomy places the organism in Eukaryota, Metazoa, Arthropoda, Insecta, Lepidoptera, Tortricidae.
UUUCGUAAGGCUUUGCUUACCAAAGCCACUACUAACUAGACCCCUUUCAUUUGGCUUUUUAAGCGCUUCAUAAUACGGAUAAGCUGAUACCGGUCGAUACCCGGGUAUCGAUUAUAAAUUAUAACGCUUAUUCCAUUUUCAACUUUCUCUUCGUAAAAAUAGAAUCAAAUAUUGCUUAUUUAUAGUU